UACGUAGGUGGCAAGCGUUGUCCGGAUUUACUGGGUGUAAAGGGCGUGCAGCCGGGCUGACAAGUCAGAUGUGAAAUCCUGUGGCUUAACCACAGGACUGCAUUUGAAACUGUUGGUCUUGAGUAUCGGAGAGGUAAUCGGAAUUCCUUGUGUAGCGGUGAAAUGCGUAGAUAUAAGGAAGAACACCAGUGGCGAAGGCGGAUUACUGGACGACAACUGACGGUGAGGCGCGAAAGCGUGGGGAGCAAAC
This 250-nucleotide ribosomal RNA is filed under the name uncultured bacterium. Its description in RNAcentral is "partial 16S ribosomal RNA". It matches the Rfam family "Bacterial small subunit ribosomal RNA", at positions 524 to 773 of the family's 1533-position model. The record is from RNAcentral.